RNAcentral lists this ribosomal RNA (315 nucleotides) under uncultured bacterium. RNAcentral's name for it is "bacterial SSU rRNA". It matches the Rfam family "Bacterial small subunit ribosomal RNA", at positions 28 to 334 of the family's 1533-position model. The record is from RNAcentral.
GAUGAACGCUAGCUACAGGCUUAACACAUGCAAGUCGAGGGGCAGCGGGAUUGAAGCUUGCUUCAAUUGCCGGCGACCGGCGCACGGGUGAGUAACGCGUAUCCAACCUUCCGCUUACUCGGGGAUAGCCUUUCGAAAGAAAGAUUAAUACAAGAUGGCAUCAUGAGUCCGCAUGUUCACAUGAUUAAAGGUAUUCCGGUAGACGAUGGGGAUGCGUUCCAUUAGAUAGUAGGCGGGGUAACGGCCCACCUAGUCUUCGAUGGAUAGGGGUUCUGAGAGGAAGGUCCCCCACAUUGGAACUGAGACACGGUCCAA